Molecule: ribosomal RNA, 412 nt
Filed under: uncultured bacterium
Lineage: Bacteria
Description: bacterial SSU rRNA
Rfam family: Bacterial small subunit ribosomal RNA
Source: RNAcentral
GUGUCAGCAGCCGCGGUAAUACGUAGGUGGCAAGCGUUAUCCGGAUUUACUGGGUGUAAAGGGCGCGUAGGCGGGAAUGCAAGUCAGAUGUGAAAUCUCCGGGCUUAACCCGGAAACUGCAUUUGAAACUGCAUUUCUUGAGUGUCGGAGAGGUAGAUGGAAUUCCUAGUGUAGCGGUGAAAUGCGUAGAUAUUAGGAGGAACACCAGUGGCGAAGGCGAUCUACUGGACGAUAACUGACGCUGAGGCGCGAAAGCGUGGGGAGCAAACAGGAUUAGAUACCCUGGUAGUCCACGCUGUAAACGAUGAAUACUAGGUGUGGGGGGACUGACCCCCUCCGUGCCGCAGUUAACACAAUAAGUAUUCCACCUGGGGAGUACGACCGCAAGGUUGAAACUCAAAGGAAUUGGCGG